This 473-nucleotide ribosomal RNA is filed under the name bacterium m105. RNAcentral's name for it is "bacterial SSU rRNA". It matches the Rfam family "Bacterial small subunit ribosomal RNA", at positions 18 to 477 of the family's 1533-position model. The record is from RNAcentral.
CAUGGCUCAAGACGAACGCGGCGGCGUGCCUAAUACAUGCAAGUCGAACGCUUCUUUCCUCCCGAGUGCUUGCACUCAAUUGGAAAGAGGAGUGGCGGACGGGUGAGUAACACGUGGGUAACCUACCCAUCAGAGGGGGAUAACACUUGGAAACAGGUGCUAAUACCGCAUAACAGUUUAUGCCGCAUGGCAUAAGAGUGAAAGGCGCUUUCGGGUGUCGCUGAUGGAUGGACCCGCGGUGCAUUAGCUAGUUGGUGAGGUAACGGCUCACCAAGGCCACGAUGCAUAGCCGACCUGAGAGGGUGAUCGGCCACACUGGGACUGAGACACGGCCCAGACUCCUACGGGAGGCAGCAGUAGGGAAUCUUCGGCAAUGGACGAAAGUCUGACCGAGCAACGCCGCGUGAGUGAAGAAGGUUUUCGGAUCGUAAAACUCUGUUGUUAGAGAAGAACAAGGACGUUAGUAACUGAAC